UGAGUGCUUCCAUGUUUUAGUGA
This 23-nucleotide microRNA is filed under the name Sphenodon punctatus (tuatara). RNAcentral's name for it is "Spt-Mir-430-P3_3p (mature (guide))". The record is from RNAcentral. Lineage: Eukaryota; Metazoa; Chordata; Lepidosauria; Sphenodontia; Sphenodontidae.